UACGUAGGUGGCAAGCGUUGUCCGGAAUUAUUGGGCGUAAAGCGCGCGCAGGCGGUCCUUUAAGUCUGAUGUGAAAGCCCCCGGCUCAACUGGGGAGGGUCAUUCGAUACUGAUCGACUCGAAGGCAGGAGAGGGUAGUGGAAUUCCCGGUGUAGUGGUGAAAUGCGUAGAUAUCGGGAGGAACACCAGUGGCGAAGGCGAGCUACCUGGCCUGUUCUUGACGCUGAGGCGCGAAAGCUAGGGAGCAACGGG
RNAcentral lists this ribosomal RNA (252 nucleotides) under uncultured bacterium. RNAcentral describes it as "partial 16S ribosomal RNA". It matches the Rfam family "Bacterial small subunit ribosomal RNA", at positions 524 to 776 of the family's 1533-position model. The record is from RNAcentral.